Molecule: ribosomal RNA, 269 nt
Filed under: uncultured Oscillospiraceae bacterium
Lineage: Bacteria; Bacillati; Bacillota; Clostridia; Eubacteriales; Oscillospiraceae
Description: partial 16S ribosomal RNA
Rfam family: Bacterial small subunit ribosomal RNA
Source: RNAcentral
AUUAGUUUACUAUUGGAGCGGUUAGUGGCGGACUGGUGAGUAACACGUAAGCAACCUGCCUAUCAGAGGGGAACAACAGUUAGAAAUGACUGCUAAUACCGCAUAUGCCUUAGAAUCACAUGGUUCAAAAGGGAAAGGAGCAAUCCGCUGAUAGAUGGGCUUGCGUCUGAUUAGCUAGUUGGUGGGGUAACGGCCUACCAAGGCGACGAUCAGUAGCCGAACUGAGAGGUUGAACGGCCACAUUGGGACUGAGAUACGGCCCAGACUCC